Molecule: ribosomal RNA, 491 nt
Filed under: uncultured bacterium
Lineage: Bacteria
Description: partial 16S ribosomal RNA
Rfam family: Bacterial small subunit ribosomal RNA
Source: RNAcentral
AGUGAACGCUGGCGGUAGGCCUAACACAUGCAAGUCGAACGGCAGCACAGUAAGAGCUUGCUCUUACGGGUGGCGAGUGGCGGACGGGUGAGGAAUACAUCGGAAUCUACUUUUUCGUGGGGGAUAACGUAGGGAAACUUACGCUAAUACCGCAUACGACCUACGGGUGAAAGCAGGGGAUCUUCGGACCUUGCGCGAUUGAAUGAGCCGAUGUCGGAUUAGCUAGUUGGCGGGGUAAAGGCCCACAAGGCGACGAUCCGUAGCUGGUCUGAGAGGAUGAUCAGCCACACUGGAACUGAGACACGGUCCAGACUCCUACGGGAGGCAGCAGUGGGGAAUAUUGGACAAUGGGCGCAAGCCUGAUCCAGCCAUACCGCGUGGGUGAAGAAGGCCUUCGGGUUGUAAAGCCCUUUUGUUGGGAAAGAAAAGCAGCAGGCUAAUACCCCGCUGUUCUGACGGUACCCAAAGAAUAAGCACCGGCUAACUUCGUG